CAGCAGCCGCGGUAAUACGUAGGUGGCAAGCGUUGUCCGGAGUUAUUGGGCGUAAAGGGCUCGCAGGCGGUUUCUUAAGUCUGAUGUGAAAGCCCCCGGCUCAACCGGGGAGGGUCAUUGGAAACUGGGAAACUUGAGUGCAGAAGAGGAGAGUGGAAUUCCACGUGUAGCGGUGAAAUGCGUAGAGAUGUGGAGGAACACCAGUGGCGAAGGCGACUCUCUGGUCUGUAACUGACGCUGAGGAGCGAAAGCGUGGGGAGCGAACAGGAUUAGAUACCCCCGUAGUCCCUGUCUCUUAUAC
This 301-nucleotide ribosomal RNA is filed under the name uncultured bacterium. RNAcentral describes it as "partial 16S ribosomal RNA". It matches the Rfam family "Bacterial small subunit ribosomal RNA", at positions 509 to 807 of the family's 1533-position model. The record is from RNAcentral.